This 499-nucleotide ribosomal RNA is filed under the name uncultured bacterium. RNAcentral's name for it is "partial 16S ribosomal RNA". It matches the Rfam family "Bacterial small subunit ribosomal RNA", at positions 28 to 507 of the family's 1533-position model. The record is from RNAcentral.
GACGAACGCUGGCGGCGUGCUUAACACAUGCAAGUCGAACGGGCCCGCCCCUGUUUUUGGGGGUGGGUUGAGUGGCGAACGGGUGAGUAUCACGUGAGUAACCUGCCCCCUGCUCCUGGAUAACUGCUUGAAAGGGCGGCUAAUACGGGGUGUGCCGGCUGGUCCGCAUGGGCCUGGUCGGGAUAGUUUCAUCUUCGGGUGUUUCGGUGGGGGAUGGGCUCGCGGCCUAUCAGCUUGUUGGGGGGGUGAUGGCCCACCAAGGCGGUGACGGGUAGCCGGCCUGAGAGGGUGGGCGGCCACACUGGGACUGAGACACGGCCCAGACUCCGGCGGGAGGCAGCAGUGGGGGGUAUUGCACAAUGGGCGGAAGCCUGAUGCAGCGACGUCGCGUGAGGGAUGGAGGCCUUCGGGUUGUGAACCUCUUUCUCCGGUGGUGAAGGCCCUGUCCGUUGCGGCGGGGUUGACGGUAGCCGGGGAUGAAGCGCCGGCUAACUACGUG